RNAcentral lists this unclassified non-coding RNA (3426 nucleotides) under Eurytemora carolleeae. Its description in RNAcentral is "uncharacterized LOC111704386". Lineage: Eukaryota; Metazoa; Arthropoda; Copepoda; Calanoida; Temoridae. The record is from RNAcentral.
AACAUGUUGGACAUCUGUUUAUAUUUUAGGAUGCAUGGAAUAAGAUCAGUUGGCCUUGUUCUCCUGGUUCUAGGUUUAGUACAGACCAGGGACCUGGAGCAGGUUGAAGGUCUGGACGCAAUCUCAGGGUUUGGAGCUAGAAUUAUCCACGGAUUGUUUAAUAAACCCCGGAGUUUGAGAAGGAUAGAUGCUGAUCCAGAUCUACCUGGAGCAGGGCAGGACGACGGAGACAGCGUAGAAGCUAGAUUCUUCCUCCAGGAGAAACUUUGCUCACUAGGGCUCUCCGAUUGUGGAAAAAGUGAUUCCUUGAAGUACGUUCAACCUGUUCAAGUUCGGCCUGUGGGUCAACCCCUUCCUGCUCAGCUGGCAGGCAACCUGCCUCAUAUACCCACCCAGAUCGUUGGAGCAGACUAUCAUCCACAUGCGUCCUAUGGUCCUCAGCCUUCAUACAAUACCCCGUCCUACAACCCACCGUCCUAUCCCAAACCCUUGGACGAAUAUAGCGCUCCGUCCCCAUACCAGCAUUCGUCCCAUCAGGAGGAAGGUUCAUUUUACUCCGCUCAAACUUCAACCUAUGAAGCUCCUAAACCUAGCUACAAUGUUCCAAGUCCCUCCUAUGAUGCUCCAACCGUAGUUAUUGCUAAAACCAGUCCUCGUCCUGUUUACACGAGUCCUAAACCUGUUUAUAAACCCAGCUCCGAGCAUCAACAUCAACACUUCGCCACAAAGGUCGACAAUCGUGAUUUUGAGAAAAACUCCGAAACGGAUAAAACCUACUACCCAGUCCCCGCUACUACACCUAGGACUAGGAUAUCUCAGUCUGGAUCCUCCUCUCCUCCCCCCUGCUCCUGUGUUCCUGUAUCCCAGUGUAAAACCGGAAAUAUAUUCCUACCCACUAAACAAGAUUACUCCUCACUAGUGGAUCCUAGGCAGAAAGCAGUCAGGAACCAGAUACUGGCAAACCGUUCAAACCAGUUUAAACGAUCAAGAUCUCUGAAGUUUGGAGAAAAGAAAGACGGAGAGGAGUCAACAACAGAAUCCGGAGUUACUGAAACUACUCUUGUUCCUGAUUCUUCUGAUACAACCACUGUCCAGACUGAGUCGGAGACAGAGGCUUUGGUUGAGUCUGUCACAGAGUUGUCUGUUGAACCUGUAACAGAGAAGAAAGAGAUUUUAGCAGUUAAUUUCCCUUCCCGCAAAAGAAGAGACUCUGAAAGCGAACCUUCAAAAAAGAGUGCUCGUCUUGAAAACACCUUUGUACCGGAAGCAACAGAAGCUGUCACUGAUGUUACCAAAGCUGUUACUGAAGGAAGUGGACCUGAAACUGUGAAUGGUGAAUCUACUACAGAGGUUGGAGCUACAGGACAACCUGGUGUUGAUACAACUGUUCAACCUGAAGCAACUGGACGUGAUGAACCAUUUAAUAUUGAAUCUAGAGAUACAGAUAUUGAUAUUGUUUCAGAUCUCAAGCUGAAGCUGAAAGAGGAACGGAGGAAGGAGAGGAUAAAGAAUAGGAAAGAGGUCGCUAAAAAGGGAAACAAGAAGAACACUGAUGAUAUUCCAAAUGAAUCUGAGUUUGAGGAAGAAGAUUUUGACAACAAAUCCUUUGAUAGUUUGAGUUCAUUUACAUCCGAUGUGACUAACCAAGUGGGAUCUGUUGGCAACUCUGUUACAUCCGGAGUAUCGAAAAUAUUCGGAGAUUUGACUAACUUAAUCGGACAGUCGACAUCUACCGGUCAACUUCAACCCACUGUAGGAUUUUCUUUUGGACUUCCCCAGUAUGGGCCCGGGUAUACAGGACAAACUAUUAACCCUCUAGGGACUGGAGGCGCUGUAAACCCCUACUUUACCUCCCCGGAUGGUCUUCCCCUUGGCCCUGUUAACCUAAACCCCUUGUUCUCCUUCCAGACCGGAACCAACGACAAGGGUGACCUCGCUAUCAAGCCCCUGGUCAACCUCCACCUAACUCCCAACGGCUGUGGAAUCCUCGGCUGCGACACCGCGGAGUACAACGAGUUCGGAGAGCCAACCCUAAGGAAGACUAUCAAGGAUGUAUUGAAGAAUCCGUUUGGAUUUCUCAACGAUAAAACUACCUCCGAGUAUUCUGCACCAAGUACUAAUUAUCAAGGAUCUAACUCUGGUUAUCAAAGCUCAGGUUAUCAGACUGGAUUAAACUCAAACUAUCAAACCGGGUUCAAUUCUCAGCUUACCAAGGAUAUAUAUGGAGCUCCAUCAUAUAACACUGGUAACAAUUAUGGAGCUCCUUCUUACAACCUAGGAAAUAGCUACGGAACUCCUUCUUAUAACACUGGAGACAGUUAUGGAGCUCCCUCUUAUAACACUGGAGAUAGUUAUGGAGCCCCGUCUUAUACAGGGCCUAGCUCCGGUUAUGAAGCUCCCAAACCUUCCUAUACUGCUCCCAAACCCUCUUACACAGCUCCCAGCAGCGGAUACGGGGCUCCUAAAGAUGAAUAUAUGGUUCCAAGUGCCUAUGUUCCUCCUAAAGACACUGCACAUCAUGAUGAUCAUCAACACCAUGAUGAUCAUGAGUCCAAGGGCCAGAUAAAUGUCCACCACCACUACUACCAUACCGAGAACCUACUGAAGGACUCCUAUGACAGUUCCGAUGAGAUCUUUAAACGUGAAACGGUUCCUAAUUCCUCCGGGACCCUGCCAGCUAAUAUGCCUGCUGGAGCUGUCAAGGUUCAAUCCAACUCCGGGGUUGUAUCUGUACAGGGAGCAGGUUUAAGGUUUCCUACAAGUAGAAAGGUAGACAUGGAGAACCAGGAUAGCCAAGCAACCAGGGAUAAAAGGCAACCUGAAGGCGCACACAGUGGUCACAGCUCUAAUCGGGUUCAUCAUGGUGAAAGAAUGCCUCACAAGAUAGAUGUUCAAGAGAGCACACAGAAGUUGGCUGCACAAUUAACUUCACAGGAGUUUGGUUCCAGUGAUUCUAUUGCUCCAACCUGCGGAGGACCUGGGUCAGGAUAUGUUUGCUGUAGGAACUACUAGUUAAUCUACUACCUAGAGUAGACUCUACUAGUUAAUCUACUACCUAGAGUAGAUUCUACUAGUUAAUCUACUACCUAAAGGAGAUUCUACUAAUUAAUCUACUACCUAGAGUAGACUCUACUAGUUGAUCUACUACCUAGAGUAGACUCUACUAGUUAAUCUACUACCUAGAGUAGAUUAUACUAGUUAAUCUACUACCUAAAGUAGACCCUACUAAGUACUUGUCUACCUAGAGUAAAGAACCUGCUAAAUCUGAACUAUUGGAUUAAUUGAAAAUUAUACAGUGUAUCUCUUGUGGAGAAAUAUUCCUUUGUUUUGGUGAUUUGUGUUUUUUGACUUCUAGUCAUGUUAAUUUCGUUAUUUAUUUAUUUAUUUAUUCAUUAGUUUUAAAUAUAAUUUUAUUGUUUCCUUUAA